This 406-nucleotide ribosomal RNA is filed under the name Verrucomicrobiota bacterium. Its description in RNAcentral is "Verrucomicrobia bacterium partial 16S ribosomal RNA". It matches the Rfam family "Bacterial small subunit ribosomal RNA", at positions 355 to 776 of the family's 1533-position model. The record is from RNAcentral. Lineage: Bacteria; Pseudomonadati; Verrucomicrobiota.
UGGGGAAUAUUGGGCAAUGGGCGAAAGCCUGACCCAGCAACGCCGCGUGAAUGAUGAAGGCCUUCGGGUUGUAAAAUUCUUUGGACAGGGACGAAGAAAGUGACGGUACCUGUAGAACAAGCCACGGCUAACUACGUGCCAGCAGCCGCGGUAAUACGUAGGUGGCGAGCGUUAUCCGGAAUCAUUGGGCGGAAAGGGUACGUAGGCGGAUAAGCAAGUUAGAAGUGAAAUCCUAUAGCUCAACUAUAGUAAGCUUUUAAAACUGCUCAUCUUGAGGUAUGGAAGGGAAAGUGGAAUUCCUAGUGUAGCGGUGAAAUGCGCAGAUAUUAGGAGGAAUACCGGUGGCGAAGGCGACUUUCUGGCCAUAUACUGACGCUGAGGUACGAAAGCGUGGGUAGCAAACAGG